CACACUCAAGGCAUUCGUGAGGUCUUUCCCCAGUGUGUGUAAGGGUGUGUGUGUUAAGGUGACUCUUCUGAGUGAACACUUUGCCACACUCUUGGCAUUCAUGAGGUCUUUCACCAGUGUGUGUAAGGGUGUGUGUGUUAAGGUUACUCUUCUGAGUGAACACUUUGCCACACUCUUGGCAUUCAUGAGGUCUUUCACCAGUGUGUGUAAGGGUGUGUGUGUUAAGGUGACUCUUCUGAGUGAACACUUUGCCACACUCUUGGCAUUCAUGAGGUCUUUCACCAGUGUGUGUAAGGGUGUGUGUGUUAAGGUGACUCUUCUGAGUGAACACUUUGCCACACUCUUGGCAUUCAUGAGGUCUUUCACCAGUGUGUGUAAGGGUGUGUGUGUUAAGGUUACUCUUCUGAUUGAACACUUUGCCACACUCUUGGCAUUCAUGAGGUCUUUCACCAGUGUGUGUAAGGGUGUGUGUGUUAAGGUUACUCUUCCUACUGAACACUUUGCCACACUCUUGGCAUUCAUGAGGUCUUUCACCAGUGUGUGUAAGGGUGUGUGUGUUAAGGUGACUCUUCCUACUGAACACUUUGCCACACUCUUGGCAUUCAUGAGGUCUUCCACCAGAGUAUGUGGGUGUGUUUGUUGAGGUCACCCUUCCCAGGGAGUCUUUUCCCACACUCUUGGCACUCAUGCUUCCCUUCAGCAGUGUGUGCAAGGCUGUGUCUGGUGAACUUGCUCUCGGUCUCAAACCUUCUCUAACUCAAACUCUCCCUUUCCUUAAUGGCUGGAGAUGCCAGAAGCAAGGUAGUGGUGGUGGUGGUAGUGGUUCUCCUGAGCACCCCUGAUCAGAGUUUGCAAGGUGCUGUUCAAAGUUAUGGCACUGAAUUUUUUCUUUGGCACAAAAUAUGAUGAAGGAAUUGCACUGUACUGUAGUGCAUGGUCUGGCACUGAU
Eriocheir sinensis (Chinese mitten crab) is the source of this 949-nucleotide long non-coding RNA. RefSeq lists it as uncharacterized. The transcript has 4 exons. The record is from RefSeq and is a predicted model, not a curated record. NCBI's taxonomy places the organism in Eukaryota, Metazoa, Arthropoda, Malacostraca, Decapoda, Varunidae.